Molecule: small RNA, 864 nt
Filed under: Malus domestica (apple)
Lineage: Eukaryota; Viridiplantae; Streptophyta; Magnoliopsida; Rosales; Rosaceae
Description: sRNA MD02G0140300
Source: RNAcentral
AUGUGUGGUCAUUUUUAAAGCCCUAAUUUCUUAAAAAAAAAAAAUUAAAAAUUAAAAUUUAAUAUUUUUUUUUUUAUUUUACAGCGUAAAUCGGCUGCAAAUAAGGUUAACCGAGAAGCGAAGCCGUACAUUUAUCACUCUUGUUCUCAUCCCCUCACUUUUCGAGUCCAAGAACGACGUGAUAAGGGUUCGUUUUUCUCGGAAGUCGAGGCUUGGGGAUACGAAUGAUCAUAAUGGCAACCAGGUGGUUAAUGACAUUUAUAAGGACAAGUGCCUCGCCAACCUCUACCAGCAGCAACCGGACAUGCCAAUGGAGGAGCUGACACCCAAUCUAGAGGUGUCUCUAUAGUUAUUGAUAGAUGGGGUUGUGUGAUGGAAAGGAAAAGAACUCCACGACCUAGAAGUAGGUCGGGUUCGGGACCUCGGGAGAUCUUCUUCAUCUAAGUCUCAGACUUCAAGCGGGAUGUCUUCCAUACUGCAGCAAUUGGAGAUUGAGCUAACGGACCUACGACAAUGAGAAGAAGAAGCUUGGGAAGGAGCGCGCCAGCGAGAAGAAGCUCAAAAGCAGCUGCAUGCCAGCGAGAGGAGGCCCCUUCCACGACACAUUGCUGAGAUGACCCAAGUAAUGGCAGCCUCUGGCAUUCACCUUCUGGAUCCUUCUAGCGAUUUUCAGCUGCCAUUCCACCAAUCACCCCAGUAGUCGCACUUAGUUUAUGAUUUUUAUAUACAUUUGCACGAAUAAUUAUUUUUAGAUUAAUAUAAUUUAAACUAAGAAUUUCUUUUUAAAAAUAAAUUUUAAAGGUUUUCACGACGAUUACUUGCGUCUGACAUAAUAUUUAAAAAAAAAUUUUGUUAAUGGAAACC